Molecule: unclassified non-coding RNA, 240 nt
Filed under: Hevea brasiliensis (rubber tree)
Lineage: Eukaryota; Viridiplantae; Streptophyta; Magnoliopsida; Malpighiales; Euphorbiaceae
Source: RNAcentral
CGGUGGUCUGGUUCGACAAGCGGAUGGGGCCUGAGAUCGGCACGUCUACCCGCGUGGCGCGCGCGGAUAUCCGCAACCGUGCCGAUGCGAACAAUUACGACUGCUGGGACUCGACCCGCAAUGUCUNNNNNNNNNNNUUCAGGAAUGGGGUCUGUUCAAGCAUCACACGGUUGGCAAUCCGCGCUAUCGCGGCAACCUUUUCACGAUGCAGUUGCCCCACAACACCGCGGUGAUUGUCGA